UACAGAGGUCUCAAGCGUUGUUCGGAUUCAUUGGGCGUAAAGAGCUCGUAGGCGGUUUGUUGCGUCUAUCGUGAAAACCUGCAGCUUAACUGUGGGCUUGCGGUGGAUACGGGCAGACUUGAGUUCGGUAGGGGAGACUGGAAUUCCUGGUGUAGCGGUGAAAUGCGCAGAUAUCAGGAGGAACACCGGUGGCGAAGGCGGGUCUCUGGGCCGAUACUGACGCUGAGGAGCGAAAGCGUGGGGAGCGAACAGG
Molecule: ribosomal RNA, 253 nt
Filed under: uncultured bacterium
Lineage: Bacteria
Description: partial 16S ribosomal RNA
Rfam family: Bacterial small subunit ribosomal RNA
Source: RNAcentral